RNAcentral lists this ribosomal RNA (324 nucleotides) under uncultured eukaryote. RNAcentral describes it as "partial 18S ribosomal RNA". It matches the Rfam family "Eukaryotic small subunit ribosomal RNA", at positions 1470 to 1796 of the family's 1831-position model. The record is from RNAcentral.
CCCUUAGAUGCUCUGGGCCGCACGCGCGCUACACUGGUCGAUGCAACGAGUUUCUUUCCUUGGCCGACAGGCCUGGGCAAUCUUUGAACAUCGAUCGUGAUCGGGAUAGAUUCUUGUAAUUUUUGAUCUUAAACGAGGAAUUCCUAGUAAACGCAAGUCAUCAGCUUGCAUUGAUUACGUCCCUGUCCUUUGUACACACCGCCCGUCGCACCUACCGAUUGAAUGGUCCGGUGAAAUCUCCGGACUGGCGUGAGUCGGAGCAAUCUGACAAACGCCGGAAAGUUGAUUAAACCUUACCAUUUAGAGGAAGGUGAAGUCGUAACA